UAAAUGCUACGUCCGCGUAUUUAU
RNAcentral lists this non-coding RNA (24 nucleotides) under Drosophila melanogaster (fruit fly). Lineage: Eukaryota; Metazoa; Arthropoda; Insecta; Diptera; Drosophilidae. The record is from RNAcentral.